GGUUCUUAGAGUGAAGAAAGCAUUAAGAAUCUGGCCUGCUCAGUGGGAAUAUUUCUUAACAGCUAUGGUACCCUGACCAUACAAAGGUAGCAUAAUAAAUUGCCCCUUAAUUAGGGGCUAGAAUGAAUGGUAUGACGAGAUUUCUUCUGUCUCUUUUGAUUUCUAUUGAAAUUGUUUUUUGGGUGAAAAAACCUUAAUUUUAGUACGUGACAAAAAGACCCUAUAAAGCUUUUUUGAUUAUCUAGGAAAUUUCUUUAUAUAGAAUUUAGUUGGGGUGACUCUAGAAUGGGAAAAGCUUCUAGUAUAAUAAGUGAUAAACGAAUUUGUGAUCAGGAUAAAUUUUUCAUAUUAAAGGUAAAGUUACUUUAGGGAUAACAGGGCACUUCUUUUAAUGAGUACAUAUUUAUUAAAGAGUUUGCUACCUCGAUGUUGGAUUAAGGUAUCCUAAAGGUGUAUCCGCUUUUGAGGGUUGGUUUGUUCAACCAUUAAAACCUUACAU
This 499-nucleotide ribosomal RNA is filed under the name Eoacmaea chamorrorum. Its description in RNAcentral is "partial 16S ribosomal RNA". It matches the Rfam family "Bacterial large subunit ribosomal RNA", at positions 1819 to 2601 of the family's 2925-position model. The record is from RNAcentral. Lineage: Eukaryota; Metazoa; Mollusca; Gastropoda; Eoacmaeidae.